Molecule: ribosomal RNA, 255 nt
Filed under: uncultured bacterium
Lineage: Bacteria
Description: partial 16S ribosomal RNA
Rfam family: Bacterial small subunit ribosomal RNA
Source: RNAcentral
UACGUAGGGACCAAGCGUUGUUCGGAUUUACUGGGCGUAAAGGGCGCGUAGGCGGCAAUUCAAGUCAUCUGUGAAAUCUCCGGGCUUAACUCGGAAUGGUCAGGUGAUACUGCUUUGCUAGAGUGCAGAAGGGGCAAUCGGAAUUCUUGGUGUAGCGGUGAAAUGCGUAGAUAUCAAGAGGAACACCUGAGGUGAAGACGGGGUUGCUGGGCUGACACUGACGCUGAGGCGCGAAAGCUAGGGGGAGCAAACGGG